RNA transcript from Syngnathoides biaculeatus (alligator pipefish), 2210 nucleotides. It is a transcript of the gene named calpain-5-like, with no coding region annotated. The transcript is spliced from 15 exons. Lineage: Eukaryota; Metazoa; Chordata; Actinopteri; Syngnathiformes; Syngnathidae. The record is from RefSeq and is a predicted model, not a curated record.
UUUCGGCGGAGGAGGCGGAGGAGGAGGAGAGCGGUGCUUUGGCGGAGGAGAGGACCAGGCAGGGAGCGAGCGCGGCGAGGAACCCCGGCCAGUCCCCCCCCCCUCCCUCCCUCCCCGCCCCCGGAGACAGCGAAAGUCGCAGCCGCUGGACUCCCCACCACCAACCCCCCCUGGCCCCCGGAGGAGGACCCGAGAGUGAGAGAGAGGAAAACGCGUAUCCACGGGAGAGGCCUCCGUCCAGGGCUGCAGCAUGUUUGCGUCUGUGAAGGCCUUUGAGGGGCAGCAGUACUCCACUCUGAAGAGACAGUGUCUGCAGAGCGGCUUGCUGUUUGAGGACCCCCGCUUCCCCUCCACCGAUGACUCACUUUUCUACCAGGGCAACAGGAUCGGACGCGUGGUGUGGAAGAGGCCGCGGGAGCUAUGUGAGGACCCUCACUUGUUCGUGGAUGGCAUCAGCGCACAUGACCUCCACCAGGGGCAGCUGGGGAAUUGUUGGUUUGUGGCGGCCUGCUCCAGUCUGGCCUCAAGAGAGUCCCUUUGGCAAAAGGUGAUUCCCGACUGGAAGGAGCAGGAGUGGGACACGGAGAAGCCCGACUCGUACGCCGGCAUCUUCCACUUCCGCUUCUGGCGCUUCGGCGAAUGGGUGGACGUGGUGAUCGACGACCGACUGCCCACCGUGGACAACCAGCUGGUCUAUUGCCAUUCCAAUGACAGCAACGAGUUCUGGAGCGCGCUGGUGGAGAAGGCCUAUGCCAAGGUGUACGGCUGCUACGAGGCUCUGGACGGCGGCAACACUGCAGACGCGCUGGUGGACUUCACGGGCGGGGUCUCGGAACCCGUGGACCUGCUGGAGGGUCAGAUGGCGACCGACGAGGUGGCCCGGAAUCAGCUGUUUGAACGCGUCCUGAAAGUGCACAACCGAGAUGGCCUUAUCAGCUGCUCUAUUAGAGCAACCACAAUCGAGGACAUGGAGGCACGGCUGGACUGCGGCCUGGUGAAAGGCCACGCCUACGCCGUGACCGACGUCCGGAAAGUGCGGCUGGGUCACGGGCUGCUGGCGUUUUUCAAGUCGGAGAAGCUGCACAUGAUCCGCAUGAGGAACCCCUGGGGGGAGAAGGAGUGGAGCGGUCCUUGGAGCGACAGUUCGGAGGAGUGGAACAAGGUGAGCAAGAGCGAGAGGGAGAAGCUGGGCGUCACCGUGCAGGACGACGGCGAGUUCUGGAUGACGUUCGACGACUUCUGCCAGUACUUCACCGACCUGAUCCUCUGCCGCCUCAUCAACACGUCGUACCUGAGCAUCCACAAGACGUGGGAGGAGGAGGUGAUGCGGGGCUCCUGGGUCCACCGCCAGGAGCCCCUGCGCAACCGUUCAGGCGGCUGCAUCAAUCACAAGGCCACCUUCCUCCAGAACCCUCAGUACGUGUUUGACGUGAAGAAGGUGGAGGACGAGGUGCUGAUCUGCUUGCAGCAGAAGGAGAAGAGAGCCACUCCCAACGAGGGGAAAGGGGAGAACCUCGCCAUAGGUUUCGAUAUCCACCAGGUGGAGGUGAACCGCAAAUACCGCAUGCACUCAGCCCAGCAGAAGGUGGCGGGCUCCAUCUACAUCAACUCGCGCUGCGUCUUCCUCAGGAAGGAGAUGAAGGAGGGCCGCUACGUCAUCAUCCCCACCACCUUCGACCCGGGCCAGCAGGGAGACUUCCUGCUCCGCGUCUUCACCGACGUGCCUUCGGACUGCAGAGAGCUGACCCUGGACGAACCUCCUCAGACAUGUUGGACGGGCAUGUGCGGCUACCCUCAGCUGGUCACCCAGGUACACGUUAUCAACGCCGAGGGGCUGCAGGGACAGGAUUCCAACGGAGCGGUAGACCCGUACGUGAUCAUCACCUGCGAAGGUGAGAGGGUCCGCUCGCCGGUUCACAAGGACACCCGGUGCCCCAAUUUUGACAUCAAGGGUCUGUUCUACCGCAAGAAGCCCAAAGAGGGAGUCCACAUCGAGCGCCGCUUAUGGACGAUAAUGGGAGGUCUUGAAGCCGCUCCAUCAAGAGUGAAACGCGCCCGCACUUCUUGCCACGGUCCAUUCAUGUGACGUCUGAUGUCCUGGAAUCAAGCCAACGCUGAACCAUGGUCAUUCUGCAGCAGGGCGACUAUGUGUGGUUGGACCUCAAAACGGGUCGCGAGUUUGACGUUCCCGUGGGGGCGGUGGUCAAACU